RNAcentral lists this ribosomal RNA (466 nucleotides) under uncultured Acidobacteriota bacterium. RNAcentral's name for it is "bacterial SSU rRNA". It matches the Rfam family "Bacterial small subunit ribosomal RNA", at positions 338 to 795 of the family's 1533-position model. Lineage: Bacteria; Pseudomonadati; Acidobacteriota. The record is from RNAcentral.
CCUACGGGGGGCUGCAGUGGGGAAUUUUGCGCAAUGGGCGAAAGCCUGACGCAGCAACGCCGCGUGGAGGAUGAAGGUGCUCUGCAUUGUAAACUCCUGUCGGCCGGGAAGAAUCGGCGGGGUGCUAAUCAGCCCCGUCUUGACUGUACCGGCAAAGGAAGCCCCGGCUAACUCCGUGCCAGCAGCCGCGGUAAUACGGAGGGGGCAAGCGUUACUCGGAAUUAUUGGGCGUAAAGGGCGCGUAGGCGGUCUCGUGCGUCAGGGGUGAAAUCCCCGGGCUUAACCCGGGACGUGCCUCUGAUACGGCGAGACUUGAGUCCGGGAGAGGGGAGCAGAAUUCCCAGUGUAGCGGUGAAAUGCGUAGAUAUUGGGAGGAAUACCAGUGGCGAAGGCGGCUCCCUGGACCGGUACUGACGCUGAGGCGCGAAAGCGUGGGUAGCAAACAGGCUUAGAUACCCGGGUAGUC